CACCGCGGUUAUACGAAAGACCCAAGUUGAUAGCCACGGCGUAAAGGGUGGUUAAGGGUAAUAAUAAAUAAAGCUAAAGAUCCUCUUAGUCGUUAUACACAUUCCGAGGCCACGAAACCCAAACACGAAAGUAGCUUUAAACAAAAUUCACCUGACCCCACGAAAGCUAAGAAA
This 174-nucleotide ribosomal RNA is filed under the name Eutropiichthys vacha (batchwa vacha). Its description in RNAcentral is "partial 12S rRNA". The record is from RNAcentral. Lineage: Eukaryota; Metazoa; Chordata; Actinopteri; Siluriformes; Schilbidae.